RNAcentral lists this ribosomal RNA (116 nucleotides) under Leskea gracilescens. Its description in RNAcentral is "5.8S ribosomal RNA". It matches the Rfam family "5.8S ribosomal RNA", at positions 41 to 154 of the family's 154-position model. From Rfam's summary of the family: 5.8S ribosomal RNA (5.8S rRNA) is a component of the large subunit of the eukaryotic ribosome. The record is from RNAcentral. Lineage: Eukaryota; Viridiplantae; Streptophyta; Bryopsida; Hypnales; Leskeaceae.
AAACAACUCUCAGCAACGGUACGUAGUGUGAAUUGCAGAAUUCCGCGAAUCAUCGAGUCUUUGAACGCAAGUUGCGCCCGAGGCUUGUCCAAGGGCAUUUCCGCUAGAGCGUCACC